GUCAAUAGAAUCAAACAUUUGUUAGAUUCAUUCAACAUAAUCUAAUACUAAAUGAAACCUGUUUCUACCAAGUAAGGUUUCACAAUCCUCUCGUGGACAAAUCUGUACUCUUUGUUGGUCCGAUGUCAUCCCUGGUAUGAUAACAGUCAUUUUUCGAGGCCCUUUGAACCCUAAGACAUUGGUGUCGUAAACCACUGCAGCCAGUUCUUGCCGGGGGUUAGUACGCUCUUCUCGUUUUUCACUCUUCAUCAGUGAAUACCCAUUGUCAAACACAGUAAAUUGUGUUCCCAAAAGAUUAGAUCUCAAUUUUCCAACAUAAGAUUCAGCUCCUCUUGAAAGAUCAGUGGGAUCAGAAGAAAUUAAAUAAUUGCUGGUUGCACUCUUCUUGCGCUUUCGCCCAGCUAAUAGAAAAACCUGUUAGGACCAGGAUUAGUCUCGUUCCAGAUGCAGAAACUGGUUGCAACACGAAUUGCUCAAUAUUGCCUUCAACAUUUCCUUCCAGCUCAGGACUCUGUGGGGACAAAAUAGUUUUAAAAAAUAUUG
This 543-nucleotide unclassified non-coding RNA is filed under the name Athalia rosae (coleseed sawfly). RNAcentral's name for it is "misc RNA ENSAEAG00005008781.1". Lineage: Eukaryota; Metazoa; Arthropoda; Insecta; Hymenoptera; Athaliidae. The record is from RNAcentral.